RNAcentral lists this transfer RNA (75 nucleotides) under Oscillospiraceae bacterium. RNAcentral's name for it is "tRNA-Cys". It matches the Rfam family "tRNA". From Rfam's summary of the family: Transfer RNA (tRNA) molecules are approximately 80 nucleotides in length. Their secondary structure includes four short double-helical elements and three loops (D, anti-codon, and T loops). The record is from RNAcentral. Lineage: Bacteria; Bacillati; Bacillota; Clostridia; Eubacteriales; Oscillospiraceae.
GGCGACAUGGCCAAGCGGUAAGGCACUGGUUUGCAAAACCAUGAUCCCCCAGUUCGAAUCUGGGUGUCGCCUCCA